AUUGAACGCUGGCGGCAGGCCUAACACAUGCAAGUCGAGCGGAUGAAGGGAGCUUGCUCCUGGAUUCAGCGGCGGACGGGUGAGUAAUGCCUAGGAAUCUGCCUGGUAGUGGGGGAUAACGUCCGGAAACGGGCGCUAAUACCGCAUACGUCCUGAGGGAGAAAGUGGGGGAUCUUCGGACCUCACGCUACCAGAUGAGCCUAGGUCGGAUUAGCUAGUUGGUGGGGUAAAGGCCCACCAAGGCGACGAUCCGUAACUGGUCUGAGAGGAUGAUCAGUCACACUGGAACUGAGACACGGUCCAGACACCUACGGGAGGCAGCAGUGGGGAAUAUUGGACAAUGGGCGAAAGCCUGAUCCAGCCAUGCCGCGUGUGUGAAGAAGGUCUUCGGAUUGUAAAGCACUUUAAGUUGGGAGGAAGGGCAGUAAGUUAAUACCUUGCUGUUUUGACGUUACCAACAGAAUAAGCACCGGCUAACUUCGUG
Molecule: ribosomal RNA, 484 nt
Filed under: uncultured bacterium
Lineage: Bacteria
Description: partial 16S ribosomal RNA
Rfam family: Bacterial small subunit ribosomal RNA
Source: RNAcentral